CCUACGGGUGGCAGCAGUGGGGGAUAUUGCACAAUGGGGGAAACCCUGAUGCAGCGACGCCGCGUGGGUGAAGAAGUAUUUCGGUAUGUAAAGCCCUAUCAGCAGGGAAGAAAGAAGACGGUACCUGACUAAGAAGCCCCGGCUAACUACGUGCCAGCAGCCGCGGUAAUACGUAGGGGGCGAGCGUUAUCCGGAUUCACUGGGUGUAAAGGGAGCGUAGACGGCCGUGCAAGCCAGGAGUGAAAGCCCGGGGCCCAACCCCGGGACUGCUGUUGGAACUGUGCGGCUGGAGUGCGGGAGGGGCAGGCGGAAUUGCUGGUGUAGCGGUGAAAUGCGUAGAUAUCAGGAGGAACACCGGCGGCGAAGGCGGCCUGCUGGACCGCGACUGACGUUGAGGCUCGAAAGCGUGGGGAUCGAACAGGAUUAGAUACCCUUGUAGUC
This 441-nucleotide ribosomal RNA is filed under the name uncultured bacterium. RNAcentral's name for it is "partial 16S ribosomal RNA". It matches the Rfam family "Bacterial small subunit ribosomal RNA", at positions 338 to 795 of the family's 1533-position model. The record is from RNAcentral.